RNAcentral lists this long non-coding RNA (751 nucleotides) under Rattus norvegicus (Norway rat). Its description in RNAcentral is "long non-coding RNA NONRATT005848". The record is from RNAcentral. Lineage: Eukaryota; Metazoa; Chordata; Mammalia; Rodentia; Muridae.
GGGAACCUUGCUUCAUGAUGAUGACUGUGGAGGAAUGUACAUAUGGCUGUGCAGUAGAGGGCAGUGUACAUUGCUGGUGUCAAAGACGCCAUCAUGGAAGCAACUGGGGCUUAGAUAAGGGCGAGAGGGUCUGGAGAGACAGGCUCUGAGGCUGGACUGUGAGCUCAGCGGUUCCUGGGUUUCUAAGUGGUGAUCACUUGCUGCCCCCUGGCUAUUCUUCUUUGCCUGGUCACCCUCAGUCCCUUUUUGUUCCUUAAACUAGUAUUUAUCAAACUUCCUGUGUACCCAGACUAAUUUUCUAUCAAGACGUGAACUACUCCCAUCCUACCCAGGUAUUUCCCUGGAAAAGUAGAAAAAGCAAAACUUGGCUCAAGCCAGGGUUCCCCAGGCAGCCCCCACUCCCACAGUUUCUCUGCUUGUCUGUCCUUGCCCCAGCUGGAGGCCCGUGGCUGAGUACAUUGACCAGCAGUUUGAACAGUAUUUCCGAGAUGAGAGUGGCCUGAAUCGCAAGAACAUCCAAGACAACAGGGUGCACUGCUGCCUGUACUUCAUCUCACCCUUUGGCCACGGAUCCGGGAGGAGAUCGAGCACUUUGGAAUCAAGAUCUAUCAGUUCCCAGAUUGUGAUUCUGAUGAGGAUGAGGACUUCAAAUUACAGGACCAAGCCCUAAAGGAAAGCAUCCCAUUCGCGGUGAUUGGCAGCAACACUGUGGUAGAAGCCAGGGGGCGGAGAGUUCGAGGCCGGCUCUACC